Molecule: long non-coding RNA, 350 nt
Organism: Hylaeus anthracinus
Lineage: Eukaryota; Metazoa; Arthropoda; Insecta; Hymenoptera; Colletidae
Exons: 3
Source: RefSeq, a predicted model, not a curated record
CGAUCGGUGAUCCGCGAAUUAAUAGGAACUGACGCCAUUAGUCUGCGUAACGUUCACCAACGGCCAUUUUCCGUUCAAAUGGCGUCUACUGUACGUGUAAAAUUUCCAUCGAAAUUUCUGGACACCAUAACGCCAGACAAAUUGUGCAGCUUACCAGGGAAAGCAGAAUAAUAGGUUUUAUACAUCAUCCAGUAAAAGUUCUUCGAUGUUCGACGCAGGUAAAGCAGAACUACUCCGAAGUUCAACGUGGGUAAUGCAGAGGUACUCCAAUGUCGACGUGGGUUAUGCAGAGCUAUUCCGAUGAUUAGCGACAGCAGAGCCACUACGUAACCCUGUAUCAAAACAACGGU